UACGAAGGGGGCUAGCGUUGCUCGGAAUUACUGGGCGUAAAGGGCGCGUAGGCGGACAGUUUAGUCAGAGGUGAAAGCCCAGGGCUCAACCUUGGAAUUGCCUUUGAUACUGGCUGUCUUGAGUUCGGGAGAGGUGAGUGGAAUGCCGAGUGUAGAGGUGAAAUUCGUAGAUAUUCGGCGGAGCACCAGUGGCGAGGCGACUCACUGGCCCGAUACUGACGCUGAGGCGCGAAAGCGUGGGGAGCAAACAGG
Molecule: ribosomal RNA, 252 nt
Filed under: uncultured bacterium
Lineage: Bacteria
Description: partial 16S ribosomal RNA
Rfam family: Bacterial small subunit ribosomal RNA
Source: RNAcentral